Long non-coding RNA from Perca flavescens (yellow perch), 1592 nucleotides. RefSeq lists it as uncharacterized. Lineage: Eukaryota; Metazoa; Chordata; Actinopteri; Perciformes; Percidae. The transcript is spliced from 3 exons. The record is from RefSeq and is a predicted model, not a curated record.
GUGUCAUGCUGAGGGAUAAACACCAGCCAAUGGCUUUUUUUCACAACCUGGCGCCCCAAAGUUGUUCUUAUUGGCUUAUUUAGGAUGGCUGAGAGAACUUAAGACACUGCAGUUGAAUAAAACACAUGCAGAUAGACAGAUGUAGACAAGUUGUGCAUCAUUGUUAAUGCUUUUUAACAAGAUAAAACACAUUAAUAAAGCUAUUUAUUGCACUUGUUAGAAAGCGGAAGUAGAAUAUCUGAAGACUACAGGCAGACAUACUUUGUUGUGUUGUGUAUAGUGCACAGAUCUCCAUCUUAUCUUCUGCACUGUAUGAUAAUAUCACUUAUCACAAUAUCACUGUUGUUGAAAUUCAAUGUAAAAGAGCUGUCUUGUUCUCUAAAGAAAUCACACAGUAGCCAGAGUAAUGAAUCAGAUUGUUUAUCACGUGUAGAUUCUUCCUGAAAUCACAAGUCAUGUUAAUGUACUUUACACGUCCCUUUGUUGUGUAGGAAGCAGACAGUGUCCUGGUGCGAUGUCUUCUGACCAUUUGUAUGUAGAGAAAACACGAGUUGGAUCAUCUGGGGACUUCAGUCCCCAGAAUCCUCUGCAUCACAUGAGGCAGGUCUGGGCUUAGCCAGGUUGGCCCUGACUCGAGCCUGGUCCACAGCAUCCAGCAGGUUUUUGGAGUCCAUUGCCAGAGUGUGAGCAGCUGCCAACAUCUGCCGCUGACAUUCCUCUUUUAGCGACGUUAUGGAGUUCUGCUGUGCCAGGCGCAUCUUAUUGAUCAGCUCCCCUAAAUCCUUGUUCAGCAGUUUUUUAGUGCCAUCGAUCUGAGAUGAAGAGGAGAGAAGAUGAUAAAAUGACAGACUGGUGAAGUGAGGCCUACCUCUGUUGUGACAGAGCUGUGCAGGGAGGGCAGGAUCUCAUCAACACUUUGGAUCAGGCUACGAAGAGCGAUGCCCACCACCUGAACAAGGGACAAGGGAGGGAGGGAAAGAUAAGGGGAUGGAAGAGGGAUAGAUAUCUCUACAUUUUUACUGUGGUAUUUCUUUAAGAUUUGUACAGCCCCAGAAAAAACAACAACUUCCCAGCUUCUCAGAGAACAGUCUUGUUAAAUGAGUUGUGAAAAGAUGACUUACUCUGACAGCAUUUGGAUACUCGGAGGCGGGCAGCGUGUUGACAUCAUUCUUCAGCUGAACCACCUGUUUCACCAUCGCCAUGACGCAGGUGUACACCUGAUCACCUGAUCGGUCCAUCUCAGCUGUGGGCCGAGGCUACAACAACACAAUACUUACUUUUUAAUGACAAAAUUUAAAAUAUAGCUCCAUUUCAGUACUACACAUGUCAGCUGUACAAAUGGAAAGGAAAGUAAAAAAUCAAAGUAUAUCUCAACCAAAUUAAUAAUAGAGGCGUGUUUUAUUUUUUUACCUUUGAGACUGUGGAAGGCAUUGGUGGCUUGUCUGGAGGACCUGACGGAGAACGAAAAAGCUGCUUAUCUGCACAUUUUCUUGACCCACACAUUUGCUGCACAUACGUAUGUAUGAGAUGCUGUGGACUUCUAUUGUGAACACAGUAACAUUUUGCAUGUUCUAUAUAAAAUAAAUGGUAAA